CAUGUGCUGCAAUCUCUAAACUUAACUUUUUACUUUUUAUCUUUUUUCUUUUUUAAUAGCACUAGUAUCUUCCACCAAGUAUUUCCCUUCUACUCGUCCAUUCAAUUAUUCCAUAUCUUCCCUCCCAUCAACACCUUUGCAUGAAUUAUGGUUUACAUUAUCCUCUUUAGUGUUAGGAUCAAGAUCAUAAUUGAUAAUAUUAACAAGUUC
This 210-nucleotide long non-coding RNA is filed under the name Lathyrus oleraceus (garden pea). RNAcentral describes it as "Pisum sativum (pea) long non-coding RNA (PSAT_LNC018123)". Lineage: Eukaryota; Viridiplantae; Streptophyta; Magnoliopsida; Fabales; Fabaceae. The record is from RNAcentral.